This 305-nucleotide ribosomal RNA is filed under the name uncultured bacterium. RNAcentral describes it as "bacterial SSU rRNA". It matches the Rfam family "Bacterial small subunit ribosomal RNA", at positions 333 to 653 of the family's 1533-position model. The record is from RNAcentral.
CGGUACCUACGGGGGGCAGCAGUGGGGAAUAUUGCACAAUGGGGGAAACCCUGAUGCAGCAACGCCGCGUGAGUGAAGAAGUAUUUCGGUACGUAAAGCUCUAUCAGCAGGGAAGAAAAAAGGACGGUACCUGAGUAAGAAGCCCCGGCUAACUACGUGCCAGCAGCCGCGGUAAUACGUAGGGGGCAAGCGUUAUCCGGAAUUACUGGGUGUAAAGGGAGCGUAGACGGCAAUGCAAGUCCGGAGUGGAAUGCGGCAGCUCAAAUGCCGAACUGCUCUGGAAACUGUAUGGCUUGGGUGCAGGG